UCCUGGGCUGUGACCAUGAGCCCAUCUCGUCGACACUGCUCAUCUAUCUUUCAUUCUACAGACGGCUGUGGGGUCUUUAGGAGUUGACCCUAAGCUGAGUGAGCAUUCGCGGAGAGCAGACAGAAAGCGUGUCGAGGGCGAUGGAGAGGGAGUCUUCAGGAACAGAAAUACUCAAAUCGUCCAGGUCGUUCAACAGCUGCUUACAACUCCCAAAUUUACUUAUUUCCUCUUAUCAACCUGGAUUAUCAUUUUUAAGUUGAGUUAAGAUCACCAAAAUAAAGGAUUGUCGUUUGAGAGACAGCUGGGAAUUGCUGUUUGUGGCUUUAAAGAGAAUUACCUGGAGGAAAGAUUUUAAAGACUAUAACAAUGAGCUUUAUGGUACUUAUAGUUGAAGACAGUGGAAUAAGCUGCUUUGGGAUGGCAGAGGCAGUGAGUCUCUUUUGCGAUGUUGUACAAGUAGAGGCUUGGGCAUCAUUUUGUGGUGAAUUAAACCUGUAAGGUUUCCCCUAGUCUUACAGUUCUGUAACAGCGUGGAAACUAAAUAGAGCUGAAAACUAAUUUUGCUUUUGUUUU
Molecule: non-coding RNA, 573 nt
Organism: Heterocephalus glaber (naked mole-rat)
Lineage: Eukaryota; Metazoa; Chordata; Mammalia; Rodentia; Bathyergidae
Source: RefSeq, a predicted model, not a curated record